GGGGCCGUAGCUCAGUUGGUAGAGCAUCCGCUUUGCAAGCGGAGGGCCGUCGGUUCGAAUCCGUCCGGCUCCA
This 73-nucleotide transfer RNA is filed under the name Paraconexibacter antarcticus. Its description in RNAcentral is "Paraconexibacter sp. 02-257 tRNA-Ala". It matches the Rfam family "tRNA". Rfam says of the family: Transfer RNA (tRNA) molecules are approximately 80 nucleotides in length. The record is from RNAcentral. Lineage: Bacteria; Bacillati; Actinomycetota; Thermoleophilia; Solirubrobacterales; Paraconexibacteraceae.